This 253-nucleotide ribosomal RNA is filed under the name uncultured bacterium. RNAcentral's name for it is "partial 16S ribosomal RNA". It matches the Rfam family "Bacterial small subunit ribosomal RNA", at positions 524 to 776 of the family's 1533-position model. The record is from RNAcentral.
UACGUAGGGUGCAAGCGUUGUCCGGAAUUAUUGGGCGUAAAGAGCUCGUAGGCGGUCUGUCGCGUCGGCUGUGAAAACCCGGGGCUCAACCCCGGGCCUGCAUUCGAUACGGGCAGACUAGAGUUCGGUAGGGGAGUCUGGAAUUCCUGGUGUAGCGGUGAAAUGCGCAGAUAUCAGGAGGAACACCGGUGGCGAAGGCGGGACUCUGGGCCGAUACUGACGCUGAGGCGCGAAAGCGUGGGAAGCAAACAGG